Molecule: ribosomal RNA, 254 nt
Filed under: uncultured bacterium
Lineage: Bacteria
Description: partial 16S ribosomal RNA
Rfam family: Bacterial small subunit ribosomal RNA
Source: RNAcentral
UACGGGGGGAGCAAGCGUUGUUCGGAUUUACUGGGCGUAAAGGGCGCGUAGGCGGCCACCGCAAGUCAGUUGUGAAAUCUCUGGGCUUAACCCAGAAAGGUCAACUGAUACUGCGGGGCUAGAGUGCAGAAGGGGCAACUGGAAUUCUCGGUGUAGCGGUGAAAUGCGUAGAUAUCGAGAGGAACACCUGCGGCGAAGGCGGGUUGCUGGGCCGACACUGACGCUGAUGCGCGAAAGCCAGGGGAGCGAACGGG